AUGCAGUGCAAAUUUCCUAUUGGCAGUACCACUGACAUGCUAUACUUUCUAUAUUUCCACGUAUGCUCCACAUGUGUUGAUGAGAUACCCAUGAAAGAUGAUUUUGCCAAGUUGCCCAAGACACUGGUGCAGGGGGCUGCAACAUGCUCACCCCUGUUGCCUCUAACAACUAUAGUAGUUCAAGAUCACAGAGGAAUAUCAAAUGUAGCACCAGUUGACUGUCCACUCUGA
RNAcentral lists this ribosomal RNA (231 nucleotides) under Triticum aestivum (bread wheat). RNAcentral describes it as "partial small subunit ribosomal RNA". The record is from RNAcentral. Lineage: Eukaryota; Viridiplantae; Streptophyta; Magnoliopsida; Poales; Poaceae.